GGAUUCCCCUAGUAACUGCGAGUGAAGCGGGAAAAGCUCAAAUUUAAAAUCUGGCGGUCUUUGGCCGUCCGAGUUGUAGUCUGGAGAAGCGUCUUCUACGCCCGGACCGUGUACAAGUCCCUUGGAACAGGGCGUCAUAGAGGGUGAGAAUCCCGUCCAUGACACGGACCGCCGGUGGUUUGUGAUGCGCUCUCAAAGAGUCGAGUUGUUUGGGAAUGCAGCUCAAAAUGGGUGGUAAAUUCCAUCUAAAGCUAAAUACUGGCGAGAGACCGAUAGCGAACAAGUACCGUGAGGGAAAGAUGAAAAGCACUUUGGAAAGAGAGUUAAACAGUACGUGAAAUUGCUGAAAGGGAAACGAUUGAAGUCAGUCGCGUCGGCCGGGGCUCAGCCUUGCAUCGUUGCUCGGUUUACUUCCCGGUCGACGGGCCAGCGUCGAUUUUGAUCGUCGGAAAAGGGCCAGAGGAAAGUGGCACCUUCGGGUGUGUUAUAGCCUUUGGUCGCAUACGGCGGUUGGGAUCGAGGAUCGCAGCACGCCUCUAUGGCCGGGGCAUUCGUGCCCACGUAUCGUGCUUAGGAUGCUGGCGUAAUGGCUUUAAACGACCCGUCUUGAAACACGGACCAAGGAGUCUAACGUGCCUGCGAGUGUUUGGGUGGAAAACCCGAGCGCGCAAUGAAAGUGAAAGUCGAGAUCUCUGUCAUGGAGAGCAUCGACGCCCGGACCUGAGCUGCUUGCGAGGGAUCUGCGGUAGAGCACGCACGUUGGGACCCGAAAGAUGGUGAACUAUGCCUGAAUAGGGUGAAGCCAGAGGAAACUUGGUGGAGGCUCGUAGCGAUUCUGACGUGCAAAUCGAUCGUCGAAUUUGGGUAUA
Molecule: ribosomal RNA, 869 nt
Filed under: Laetiporus sulphureus
Lineage: Eukaryota; Fungi; Basidiomycota; Agaricomycetes; Polyporales; Laetiporaceae
Description: eukaryotic LSU rRNA
Rfam family: Eukaryotic large subunit ribosomal RNA
Source: RNAcentral